UGGGGAAUAUUGCACAAUGGGCGCAAGCCUGAUGCAGCAACGCCGCGUGAGGGACGACGGCCUUCGGGUUGUAAACCUCUUUUAGCAGGGAAGAAGCGAAAGUGACGGUACCUGCAGAAAAAGCGCCGGCUAACUACGUGCCAGCAGCCGCGGUAAUACGUAGGGCGCAAGCGUUAUCCGGAAUUAUUGGGCGUAAAGAGCUCGUAGGCGGUUUGUCGCGUCUGCUGUGAAAUCCGGAGGCUCAACCUCCGGCCUGCAGUGGGUACGGGCAGACUAGAGUGCGGUAGGGGAGAUUGGAAUUCCUGGUGUAGCGGUGGAAUGCGCAGAUAUCAGGAUGAACACCGAUGGCGAAGGCAGAUCUCUGGGCCGUAACUGACGCUGAGGAGCGAAAGGGUGGGGAGCAAACA
RNAcentral lists this ribosomal RNA (407 nucleotides) under uncultured bacterium. Its description in RNAcentral is "partial 16S ribosomal RNA". It matches the Rfam family "Bacterial small subunit ribosomal RNA", at positions 355 to 774 of the family's 1533-position model. The record is from RNAcentral.